Nylanderia fulva is the source of this 674-nucleotide non-coding RNA. The record is from RefSeq and is a predicted model, not a curated record. NCBI's taxonomy places the organism in Eukaryota, Metazoa, Arthropoda, Insecta, Hymenoptera, Formicidae.
GAUCAAGCGAUACAUUUUGACGAGAACCGUUACAAACUACAUAAUUAUUUGAACUUGGUACUUUCAAAAUUGGGAUGCAUCGUCGAGAAUGUUCACUGUUUAGAAAUGGCCAAACAUCAAUUGGAAUUGCAUCUAAGAAAUCGUGAUAAAUAUAAAAUAAUACCUGAAUGGCAUAAAUGGACAUAUUGUAAUGGUUUAAAAAGAGCGAACUACACUGUUUGAAACAAGUAUGGACAGAAGCAACUACUAAAUACCAAGAAGAAUCUGAUUAUACAAUGUUUGAAUUUCUUACUUGCACCGAGAAUCACCAAGUUCUUAUUUAUCUGCAGUCAGCUUUAAGGAGAUUUGAAAUGGAUUUGUUCUUUAAUAGUAUAAAUAAUGAAAUGCAAGAAGUGAUAAAAAAUCAACAGCGUAAAAUAUAUACUAAAGUUUUUUUCUCUAUUCUUGCGACACAUACUAAAAAUAAUACAAUGCUUCGAGAAAUAUUAACAAAUUUUGAUAAUAUAAAAUUUAGCCAUAUCAAUAGCACUGCAGCAUUAAUUGUUCUUAUUAAUAAUGCAUACUCUGUAAAUCAACUUGACCAGAUAUCUGCAUUCGCGAAGCAACAUAUGCAACAAUUAUUUCCAGAAGUUGACCAGAAGGCUGCAAAACGUUUAAUACAGAUUAAAGUUCUU